AUUGAACGCUGGCGGCAGGCCUAACACAUGCAAGUCGAACGGUAACAGGAAGAAGCUUGCUUCUUUGCUGACGAGUGGCGGACGGGUGAGUAAUGUCUGGGAAACUGCCUGAUGGAGGGGGAUAACUACUGGAAACGGUAGCUAAUACCGCAUAACGUCGCAAGACCAAAAAGGGGGACCUUCGGGCCUCUUGCCAUCGGAUGUGCCCAGAUGGGAUUAGCUAGUAGGUGGGGUAACGGCUCACCUAGGCGACGAUCCCUAGCUGGUCUGAGAGGAUGACCAGCCACACUGGAACUGAGACACGGUCCAGACUCCUACGGGAGGCAGCAGUGGGGAAUAUUGCACAAUGGGCGAAAGCCUGAUGCAGCCAUGCCGCGUGUAUGAAGAAGGCCUUCGGGUUGUAAAGUACUUUCAGCGGGGAGGAAGGGAGUAAAGUUAAUACCUUUGCUCAUUGACGUUACCCGCAGAAGAAGCACCGGCUAACUCCGUG
This 490-nucleotide ribosomal RNA is filed under the name uncultured bacterium. RNAcentral describes it as "partial 16S ribosomal RNA". It matches the Rfam family "Bacterial small subunit ribosomal RNA", at positions 30 to 507 of the family's 1533-position model. The record is from RNAcentral.